CCUGAUAGCUCAGUUGGUAAAGAAUCCACUUGGAAUGUGGGAGACCUGGGUUCGAUCCCUGGGUCAGGA
Molecule: transfer RNA, 69 nt
Filed under: Ovis aries (sheep)
Lineage: Eukaryota; Metazoa; Chordata; Mammalia; Artiodactyla; Bovidae
Rfam family: tRNA
About the family: Transfer RNA (tRNA) molecules are approximately 80 nucleotides in length. Their secondary structure includes four short double-helical elements and three loops (D, anti-codon, and T loops). Further hydrogen bonds mediate the characteristic L-shaped molecular structure. tRNAs have two regions of fundamental functional importance: the anti-codon, which is responsible for specific mRNA codon recognition, and the 3' end, to which the tRNAs corresponding amino acid is attached (by aminoacyl-tRNA synthetases). tRNAs cope with the degeneracy of the genetic code in two manners: having more than one tRNA (with a specific anti-codon) for a particular amino acid; and 'wobble' base-pairing, i.e. permitting non-standard base-pairing at the 3rd anti-codon position.
Source: Rfam by way of RNAcentral